ACCACUUCCACCCAUCUACCUGGAGCGCUGCCUCACGCCGCUCAGCCUGGGCAGCAUGAGCAGCCUGCACGACGUGCUCAAGGUACACUACCUCACCCGGACCCACCCUGUCGCUGUAGAUGCAUUUUUAUUAUUAUUAUUUUUUAUUUUUUAUAAUUGGAAUAAAUGUGUCAUAUAGAGUGGCGUGUUUUGUAAUUUUAAUUAUACGGAUACGGUUAGCGAUAUUUUUACUCUCUUGGAUAUCCGUAUAUGAAAGUAUGAAUAUCCACACAUCAGGUAUAUGUGUUUAUUUAUACACACGUAAUAUUUGUAUAUCCUUGUGUUUAGAUGGGCACGGACGUAGGCGACGGCGCGCAGUCCGAAGACAGCAGCGGGGCGUCACCACCGCACCCCUCGGAGCCCUGAUGUUUACUCUUUAAGAAACUAAAAGGCCCGUGGCGUCAAAAAAGUGGGGUCUGAAAUCGUGUGAAACAGUAAUGCUGACCUCACAGAAGAACGUAUCUUGUGAGAUGAAAGACAAGAUAUAAAAACUCCAGUUACGUGGCCGAGCUGACAACCUUUUAUUGAAGUUUAUUAGUGAAUAACAUUUAAUUUAUUUAUAAUUAUUUUGUAUAAAAUUUUGAGAGGCUAUUCCGUUGUAUAUUCACUUCAACUUAGCUAAAACAUGUAGUGUUUUUUAUAUGUAUUUUACAACGACGAAUCUUCCAUGAUUACAUAUGUAUUAAGUGAAACAAUUAACGUAUUAAAAAAUAAGUUCACUAAUCUCUCUCUUAGGGCUUGUUUUACCGGUUUUGGGUAACGCUAUUUGACAGAUGACGGCAUCUAACAGAUAAAAGUUUUCAGCGUAUAACUUUUCUUUAGCAUCAAAUUUCACUAUAUUCAUGACAUAUUUCUAUUCGGAAAUGUGAACAUCUACAAGUUGUAAUUUGUCAAUUGAGCAGAAACAGUCUAUUCUAUAACUUAUUUGCAGGAAAAACUCUACCCACAACCUGUGAACUCGUCCCUGAAAGGAAAAAAAUAUAUAAAUUAGAAAGGGAUUGUUGAAUUUUCUAACAUUUCUAAUUAAAAUCAUAUUUAUAUAUUCAUUUUACGUUUUUACAAAAGUGUGAAAGUUCAUUUAAAUAUAUUCAUUGAGAAGUAUAAUUUCUCAUACAUAAAAUGUAUGAAAACAUUUUUUUUACGAUAAUUAAGAAAUUAAAACAGAUUUGUUCAUCUGCUUGAUGAAAUUUUUUUUAUUGUUCAGACUUGCGUACUGUACGUUAUAUUUGAUUAUAAAUAGUUACAAGUAUAAAUAAAUAAUGCAACUAUUAUGUAUUUAAAAUAUUUGGUUCCUAUAUAUAUUUAAAAAAUCGUUGCAAUAUUAUAUUAACACAAUAUAAUUUGGGGGAUUUAUUUACCCCGAAAACGAACUAGGCCGAGGAAUUUCUAAAUCACGUGGUCAUUAUGACCCCCCAUUAAAAAUAGGGGUCAAUAUGACUCCACGGCUGUAUCGGUACGUGUAAUAAAAUAAUACCUUCCAUUAUACGAUAAUAAUAUUUAGUAGUUAGUAUUAUAUUUAACCCGAAGUGGCUUGUAGGUCAAUUAAUAUAAAUGUUCAAUUUUAAUAACGUUUUUCUGUUUGUGCGCGGGAUUACAGACUGAUGAAGUUGGAUAAAAGCUACAUUAUGGGUAUAUUUCGAAAUAUAGGACAGUAUCCAAUAAUUAAAACAUUCUUAACCGAUUUAAGUAAAAGGUGGUUAUCAGUGUUGUCAUACAUGCAAUGCUACGUGCUAUCUUCGCCAAUUGUAAACCAAAAUUAAUGUUUCUUUCGAUUUUAAAUAUGUGAAAACUUCAGUAUGACCUGACAUUGGUUAGGUAGGCUUAUUUAUAUUCCCUAAUAUGCCCUAAAAUUUAGUAUAUUAAAAAAAUACUACCCUUAUAACUGACAAAAGGACAUAACACAUGCUCUUUGAAAUAUCACGCAGAGUGGUUUUUUAAUAAUAAUAAAAAAAACUUAUGAAAGUAAUUCUAGAAUAUAGCUUUAUAUAAUGGAGUUUGUAAUAUUGUUUUUUUUUUUUUAUACAUUCAAAUACUAAAUAAACACGUGUCGAAAAAUGUUAUGAAUAGUGUAUAAGUUUUAACCAAAACUAUUUAUUUUGCUUCUAAACAUUUAUAAUGCUUGGUUGCUAUAUUCAGAAAAGGGUUCGUUUUGCAUACGCAUAGUUUCAAGACAUGAAUUGUUUGAAAUUUAAUAUUUCGUUGACGCAGUUUGCAGUGACCUUCCCGGGUUUGUUUUUCACCCCGCGUCUGGGUGUAGUAUAUAUAUACUACACCCAGACACCCU
Molecule: unclassified non-coding RNA, 2323 nt
Filed under: Melitaea cinxia (Glanville fritillary)
Lineage: Eukaryota; Metazoa; Arthropoda; Insecta; Lepidoptera; Nymphalidae
Description: misc RNA ENSMCXG00005017208.1
Source: RNAcentral